AUUACUUUAUGGUAAAAAGGACCUUUGAUGUAAUAGUUAUCUAACAUUUGUGGCUAUCCUGAUCAAUGGUUGCUUUCAAUGUCAUCUGAUCUUGGAAAUGCCACAUACAUUA
This is a small nucleolar RNA of Carya illinoinensis, 112 nucleotides long. Lineage: Eukaryota; Viridiplantae; Streptophyta; Magnoliopsida; Fagales; Juglandaceae. The record is from RefSeq and is a predicted model, not a curated record.